Molecule: ribosomal RNA, 1372 nt
Filed under: uncultured organism
Description: bacterial SSU rRNA
Rfam family: Bacterial small subunit ribosomal RNA
Source: RNAcentral
UAAUGCAUGCAAGUCGAGCGAUGAGGCUCUCUUCGGAGAGUACAUCAGCGGCAGACGGGUGAGUAACACGUAGAUAACCUACCCUCAAGACGGGGAUAACCGGUGGAAACAGCGGCUAAUACCCGAUAGGCUCACGUGAUCGGGAGGUCAAGUGAGGAAAGGCUGCGGUGCUUGAGGAGGGGUCUGCGGCCCAUCAGCUAGUUGGUGAGGUAACGGCUCACCAAGGCGAAGACGGGUAGGGGGUGUGAGAGCACGACCCCCCACAAUGGGACUGCGACACGGCCCAUACUCCUACGGGAGGCAGCAGCAGGGAAUAUUGCGCAAUGGACGGAAGUCAGACGCAGCGACGCCGCGUGGGUGAGGAAGGCCUUCGGGUUGUAAAGCCCUUUUCUGGAGGGCGAGGCAGGACGGUACUCCAGGAAUAAGCGUCGGCUAACUACGUGCCAGCAGCCGCGGUAAGACGUAGGACGCAAGCGUUAUCCGGAUUUACUGGGCGUAAAGCGCCUGUAGGCGGCGGGAUAAGUCGGAUGUGAAAGCCCCGUGCUCAACGCGGGGAAGCCAUUCGAUACUGUCUGGCUAGAGAGCGGGAGAGGGAAACGGAAUUUCUGGUGUAGCGGUAAAAUGCGCAGAGACCAGAAAGAACACCGAUGGCGAAAGGCAGUUUCCUAGGCCGUAUCUGACGCUGAGAGGCGAAAGCUAGGGGAGCGAACAGGAUUAGAGACCCUGGUAGUCCUAGCUGUAAACGCUGGAUGCUAGUGUGGGCCAGAGCGGUCCGUGCCGGGAGUUAACGCGAUAAGCAUCCCGCUGGGAGUACGGCCGCAAGGCUAAAACUCAAACGAAUUGACGGGGACCCGCACAAGCAGCGGAGCGUGUGGUUUAAUUCGAUGCUACACGCAGAACCUUACCUGGGCUUGACAUGUAGGUGGUAGUGAAGUGAAAGCGGAGCGACCCUUCGGGGAGCCUACACAGGUGCUGCAUGGCUGUCGUCAGCUCGUGCCGUGAGGUGUCGGGUUAAGUCCCGUAACGAGCGCAACCCUUGUCCUUAGUUACAAGUGUCUAAGGAGACUGCCGGUGACAAACCGGAGGAAGGUGGGGAUGACGUCAAGUCAGCAUGGCCCUUAUGUCCAGGGCGACACACACGCUACAAUGGUCGGUACAAAGGGCAGCGCAGCCGCGAGGUGAAGCGAAUCCCACCAAAGCCGAUCCCAGUUCGGAUUGCAGGCUGCAACCCGCCUGCAUGAAGCCGGAGUUGCUAGUAACCGCGCGUCAGCCAUAGUGCGGUGAAUACGUUCCCGGGUCUUGUACACACCGCCCGUCACGUCAUGGGAGUCGGUAACGCCUGAAGCCGGAAGUCUGACCCGCAAGGGAGGGC